AUACGGAGGGUGCGAGCGUUGUCCGGAAUCACUGGGCGUAAAGGGCGCGUAGGCGGCGCAGUAAGUAGGGGGUGAAAUCUCACGGCUCAACCGUGAAACGGCCUCCUAAACUGCUGUGCUAGAGCACGGUAGAGGCAGAUGGAAUUCCCGGUGUAGCGGUGGAAUGCGUAGAUAUCGGGAAGAACACCAGUGGCGAAGGCGGUCUGCUGGGCCGUUGCUGACGCUGAGGCGCGACAGCGUGGGGAGCAAACAGGAUUAGAUACCCCAGUAGUCC
Molecule: ribosomal RNA, 274 nt
Filed under: uncultured bacterium
Lineage: Bacteria
Description: partial 16S ribosomal RNA
Rfam family: Bacterial small subunit ribosomal RNA
Source: RNAcentral